This 406-nucleotide ribosomal RNA is filed under the name uncultured bacterium. RNAcentral describes it as "partial 16S ribosomal RNA". It matches the Rfam family "Bacterial small subunit ribosomal RNA", at positions 30 to 526 of the family's 1533-position model. The record is from RNAcentral.
AUUGAACGCUGGCGGCAGGCCUAACACAUGCAAGUCGAACGGGUGGCGGACGGGUGAGUAAUGUCUGGGCAACUGCCUGAUGGAGGGGGAUAACUACUGGAAACGGUAGCUACAACCGCAUACCAUCAGAUGUGCCCAGAUGGGUAUAGCUUGUGGGUGGGGUAAAGGCUUACCAAGGCGACUAUCCCUAGCUGGUCUGAGAGGAUGACCAGCCACACUGGAACUGAGACACGGUCCAGACUCCUACGGGAGGCAGCAGUGGGGAAUAUUGCACAAUGGGCGAAAGCCUGAUGCAGCCAUGCCGCGGGUGUGAAGAAGGCCUUCGGAUUGUAAAGUACUUUCAGCGGGGAGGCGUUACCCACAGAAGAAGCACCGGCUAACUCCGUGCCAGCAGCCGCGGUAAUAC